Oreochromis niloticus (Nile tilapia) is the source of this 1545-nucleotide long non-coding RNA. NCBI's taxonomy places the organism in Eukaryota, Metazoa, Chordata, Actinopteri, Cichliformes, Cichlidae. The record is from Ensembl.
ACAGUGAGUUAGUGAGAGUUAGUUACAGUGAGUCAAACCCACUCCCUCCUCCAACUAUGACGGCCUAGACAGAGACUUUAUGCAAGCUUCUUUGAAGUUGGCAGACAGUGAAGGUGAAGAGUGAAGAGUCAGACGCUGUUCUUCUGAAGUUUCACAACUUUUCUGCAUCAGGAUUAAAGUCAGAAUGAAAAUCCUCCAUUUUCUCUUCUUCUGCUUCUUGUCAGGUCCAGCUGGGCUCGUCAAGGCAAAACAUAAUAUUUGGUCUGCAGCUGAAGGACUAAAUGCUACACUUAACUGCAACUUACCUUUGUCUGGAACCACAAAGUUCUUCUGUAAGGAAAAAUGUGAGCGAGAUGAAGAUAUCCUCAUUAAAACAGAUGGAAGCACAGCUCAGAGUGGGAGAUACAGCAUGAAGUAUAAAAAUGGAGCUUCAGGAAGAGGAAUUGUGUUUUUGACCUUCUCACAAAUGAUCAAGUCUGACUCAGGAAUGUACAGGUGUGCUUUGGGAAGACCUUCUGCUCCAGAUUCAUACUCAGACUUCGAGAUGAGAGUUUCAAAGGAUCUAGAUAAAAACGUUGGUUUUUAUCGCACACAAACUGAGGGCGAAAAGAUCACAUUGGUAUUUUCCAACAACACGUAUGGACACAGGAAGUUCUUUUGUAAGAAUCAGUGUAAGAAUGAAGGGGAGAUCCUCAUUGACACAACUAAUAACAAAUCUGCGAGUGGCAGAUACAGCAUUGAAUACAGACCAAGAUCCAUGUAUGGACUGUAUGCAACCAUCAUACAGCUGACCAAGUCAGACACAGGACGAUACAGGUGUGGUUAUGGAAACCCUCUGUCUCCAGAUUUAUACAGCAGUGUAAAUGUUCUCGUCAUUGAUGAUUCAAACCCACCUGCUUCCACACCACAAACAGCAACACAGAGUGAAAGUGUCACUGCAGGAGUCUCUACACAUGGUCCUGACUCCUCCUGGCUUCUGGUUGUGCGUGCGUCCUUGGAUGGUGUUUUGCUGAUGGCUGUUUUCCUCAUGCUCUUCUACAUUAGUAAGACAAGGAGGAACUUUGGACUGAACACCAGAGAAAAUGACACAAACAUGGAGGUGAGUUUGUGUCACUUGUUUUCUGUCUGUUGUUGCAGGUUUCAGUGAGUGUUGUUGAUUCAUGCUGUCAGUUUGACUUUCUCAGUGAAAUGUAGUGAAAAGAGGUGAUGUUACCUGUUAUUAAAGUUUCCUUAAUAAUACCAUCUUCACCAGCAGAGGGAAGUGAAGACAAAGUGAACAAUAUUUAGACCAGACAGAAAUAUUUUCUAUAAUUAUGUAGAUAUAAAACCAUACAACAUAUUUUAUGGUCCUUUAAGGUUAUUCCACAGCAUCAUAAUUUCAUGAUGUCAUAUCUAAAAGUGUGAAAGCACCUUUAGUUCUGUUUCCUGACACUGCAGCACAUGUAAGCUGCUCUGAAGCAAAUCUGUUGAACUUCUUAUGAUAUUUAUAAUGUUACAUGUUUUUGUUUGUUUGUUUCUCUGGAAUAAACUUUGUGCUUCUUAUUG